Molecule: ribosomal RNA, 433 nt
Filed under: uncultured bacterium
Lineage: Bacteria
Description: partial 16S ribosomal RNA
Rfam family: Bacterial small subunit ribosomal RNA
Source: RNAcentral
AAUGAACGCUGGCGGCAUGCCUAACACAUGCAAGUCGAACGAGACCUUCGGGUCUAGUGGCGCACGGGUGCGUAACGCGUGGGAAUCUACCCUCAGGCUCGGAAUAACUCAGAGAAAUUUGAGCUAAUACCGGAUGAUGACGUAAGUCCAAAGAUUUAUCGCCUGAGGAUGAGCCCGCUUAGGAUUAGGUAGUUGGUGAGGUAAAGGCUCACCAAGCCGACGAUCCUUAGCUGGUCUGAGAGGAGGAGCAGCCACACUGGGACUGAGACACGGCCCAGACUCGUACGGGGAGCAGCAGUAGGGAGUAUUGGACAAGGAACGAAGGCCUGAUCCAGCAAUGCCGCGUGAGUGAUGAAGGCCUUAGGGUUGUAAAGCUCUUUUACCCGAGAUGAUAAUGACAGUACCGGGAGAAUAAGCGCCGGCUAACUCCGUG